AGAACAGGAAAGUGUGAGUAAUAAACAACACUGGUAGAUAGAUGUAUGAUAACCCACCAGAAAUAAGCUUUGAUUGAUAUGCUAGUGAACCUAAACCAUUAAACCCUCUCACAGUCAAAUUAAAAGGUAAAAUCUGUUGCUGUGUAAUAAAAACUGUCAGUUUUCAGGGCUACGAUAAUCACAUACCACCAAAAUAUUUUUACUUUCAAUAAGCCGACAGUCAAAUUACAGACGUGGGGACUGUUCAAGCCAUUAAUCUAAUAAGUAACGGUGUCAGUUGACUUUUCUCAUUUCUCCAUCUGCCUGAAACAUAUGCACAUGAGGAAUGAUUCAGCAGCCUUCACACAGACCAGUGGGCCACAGUCACAGCUAAUCAUCCCGGUUCCUUCGGCCUGAAACGAGACGCCGGUGACAGAACAACGGGGUUCACUAUCUUGGCCAAGGAGACUUUGGCACACAGACUGGCACAGCAACCACCUCCUAUUUUGGUCUUCUUUCCUUUGUAACUAUAUAAAGUAGGAGCCCUAAUGGCAGUGAGCCAAAACUCCCAAAACUAUCUUCCAGUGUGGAUAAUCUCACUCUUGUUUGGUCUCCGUGGCCACCUAUUCACUCCCUGUCUCGUUCUCUGCAUACCUCUAAUACUUCCUGACACUCAUCCUAUCCCUAAUAGUCAUUAAUCAGAUCAAAUCCAUGUGGACAAAGCAGCCCAGGCUACAUCCCGUCAACAGCAGUUAAAUACGCUAAUCCAAGAGGCACCUACGCAUACCGUUCCACUGAUGCAUAAACAUCUAUUUCCCUUUAAAGGAUCCUUAAUAUACGAUGGAAAACUGGCAAAGAGUGGAUGGCUUAAAGUACACAUGAACACAGGGCCCUUGAUAAAUGGUUGCUCUUUUCCCAGCAUGUCCCUCUGUGAGCCAUGAUGAGUCACCCAUGCACCUGCAUUUCCUCUUGUGAACACAGAAUUACUGUGAUGCAGGGAUGGCAGUAUAUCUGAUUGUCCAGGGUCUUUUGUCAAGGAUUUGGGAGGGCACUGAGGGCAGACCACCGAGGGACACCUAAAAUAAACCUCCCCAGGAGGAUGGGGGCUUCUCCUUCUAACGAGGCUAUUCCUCGGCUUUUGUAAGAAAGGAAAUCUUACCCCUCUGCAUUUCUUUCACUGCCUCUCAAAGCCACUGCAUACCUUCACCCUGACUCUGUCGAGCACCCUUGUUGGCCCGGCUCACGCCUGUCAACAACCCUGAUUCACAAACCGCUUUUGGUUCCCCCUAAAAUCUUUCAAAGACACUGAGGCAGUAAAAUCGCAGCAUGAAGAUUCUGUCUGCACCCUUUCUUUCAUUCACUUUCUGCUUGUUUUACUGUUUUCUUGUUUUCUCUUGGUUCUCACCUGAUGCCGCGGUGCCCAAA
Oreochromis niloticus (Nile tilapia) is the source of this 1404-nucleotide long non-coding RNA. RefSeq lists it as uncharacterized. The record is from RefSeq and is a predicted model, not a curated record. NCBI's taxonomy places the organism in Eukaryota, Metazoa, Chordata, Actinopteri, Cichliformes, Cichlidae. The transcript is spliced from 3 exons.